This is a non-coding RNA of Copromyces sp. CBS 386.78, 85 nucleotides long. The record is from the annotation of a GenBank genome assembly. Lineage: Eukaryota; Fungi; Ascomycota; Sordariomycetes; Sordariales; Sordariaceae.
GUUGGAUUAGCUCAGGUGGGAGAGCGUUGUAGGCACGCAAUGAUGUGCGCUACGAAGGCCAGGAGUUCAACUCUCCUAUCGGACA